CAGAUCAGAAGCGAGAAUGUUGACAUGAGUAGCGAUAAAGAGGGUGAGAGACCCUCUCGCCGUAAGUCCAAGGGUUCCUGCUUAAAGCUAAUCUGAGCAGGGUAAGCCGGCCCCUAAGGCGAGGCCGAAAGGCGUAGUCGAUGGGAACCACGUUAAUAUUCGUGGGCCAGGAGGAAGUGACGGAUCUCGAAGGUAGUUUGCCCUUAUCGGAUUGGGUGGGCUGCUCAGAGGUUCCAGGAAAUAGCCCUCCAUCAGACCGUACCCUAAACCGACACAGGUGGACUGGUAGAGUAUACCAAGGCGCUUGAGAGAACCACGUUAAAGGAACUCGGCAAAAUGCCUCCGUAAGUUCGCGAGAAGGAGGCCCCAUAUGUGCGCAAGCAUGUGUGGGGGGCACAAACUAGGGGGUGGCGACUGUUUACUUAAAACACAGGGCUGUGCGAAGCCGUAAGGCGACGUAUACAGUCUGACGCCUGCCCGGUGCUGGAAGGUUAAAAGGAGGGGUGCAAGCUCUGAAUUGAAGCCCCAGUAAACGGCGGCCGUAACUAUAACGGUCCUAAGGUAGCGAAAUUCCUUGUCGGGUAAGUUCCGACCUGCACGAAUGGCGUAACGAUCUCCCCGCUGUCUCUAACGUGGACUCAGCGAAAUUGAACUGUGUGUCAAGAUGCACACUACCCGCGGUUAGACGGAAAGACCCCAUGCACCUUUACUCCAGCUUUGCACUGGUAUCAGGAUUGUGAUGUGCAGGAUAGGUGGUAGGCAUCGAAGCGGGGACGCCAGUUCUCGUGGAGCCUCCCUUGAGAUACCACCCUUCGCCAUCUUGAUAUCUAACCGCGGCCCGUUAUCCGGGUCCGGGACCCUGCAUGGUGGGGAGUUUGACUGGGGCGGUCGCCUCCCAAACAGUAACGGAGGCGCGCGAAGGUAGGCUCAGACCGGUCGGAAAUCGGUCGUUGAGUGCAAUGGCAGAAGCCUGCCUGACUGCAAGUCUGACAAGACGAGCAGAGACGAAAGUCGGUCAUAGUGAUCCGGUGGUCCCAAGUGGGAGGGCCAUCGCUCAACGGAUAAAAGGUACGCUGGGGAUAACAGGCUGAUGAUGCCCAAGAGUCCAUAUCGACGGCAUCGUUUGGCACCUCGAUGUCGGCUCAUCUCAUCCUGGGGCUGGAGCAGGUCCCAAGGGUAUGGCUGUUCGCCAUUUAAAGAGGUACGUGAGCUGGGUUUAGAACGUCGUGAGACAGUUCGGUCCCUAUCUGCCGUGGGUGUAGGAGACUUGAGAAGAGUUGCCCCUAGUACGAGAGGACCGGGGUGAACGAACCACUGGUGGACCAGUUGUCGUGCCAACGGCAGUGCUGGGUAGCUAUGUUCGGACAGGAUAACCGCUGAAGGCAUCUAAGCGGGAAGCCCCCUUCAAAACAAGGUCUCCCUUGAGAGCCGUGGAAGACCACCACGUCGAUAGGCCGG
This 1458-nucleotide ribosomal RNA is filed under the name metagenome. RNAcentral's name for it is "bacterial LSU rRNA". It matches the Rfam family "Bacterial large subunit ribosomal RNA", at positions 1278 to 2864 of the family's 2925-position model. The record is from RNAcentral.